GCAGCCGCCGCGGUAAUACGAAGGGGGCUAGCGUUGUUCGGAUUUACUGGGCGUAAAGCGCACGUAGGCGGAUCGAUCAGUCAGGGGUGAAAUCCCAGAGCUCAACUCUGGAACUGCCUUUGAUACUGUCGAUCUGGAGUAUGGAAGAGGUGAGUGGAAUUCCGAGUGUAGAGGUGAAAUUCGUAGAUAUUCGGAGGAACACCAGUGGCGAAGGCGGCUCACUGGUCCAUUACUGACGCUGAGGUGCGAAAGCGUGGGGAGCAAACAGGAUUAGAUACCCGUGUAGUCCCUGUCUCUUAUAC
Molecule: ribosomal RNA, 302 nt
Filed under: uncultured bacterium
Lineage: Bacteria
Description: partial 16S ribosomal RNA
Rfam family: Bacterial small subunit ribosomal RNA
Source: RNAcentral